CAGGAUCGGAGGUUCGACUUCGGCUUCCAGUUGAUUGUUCUCAUUCUCCUUGUCUCUCAUUCAGCUGCCAAGAUAAGGAGAAGCAAAUGGAGAAGAGAUGAUAUGAGAUACUUUUGCUUUUGAAGAAGUAACUUUCCACAAGCUUAUUCUUGAACUGUGCUGGAGGGUUUUCUGGUUCCCUUCAGAGUAUAAAGCCGACUCAAGAAUUUGAGGGUCAAAACAAGUCCAUCAAAUCUAGAGUACGUUCGACCUUGAUGAUAUGGGAUACUUUUGCUGUUGACGGAAUAGUGAAUGUGGUAUGGAAAUGUGUCGUGCUGUAGUGAUCUGUUUCAGCUCACCGUUGAACCUUCUGCUUCAAUCUUUUGCAUGGCAGAAGUGGUGUGCAACCUUUGCAUUUAAAUGGUCAUUCAGAACAUUCCUUCAUAGUGACUCAUCCACGCUUGGCAGCUUCAGUGUAAAGAGCCAAUAUCUGAUCAACUGUCAUGAGGUAUGUGCCGGUGGAAUUCAUGACCUUGACAGCAGUUGAGGAUGAGUUCUCAAGAGCAAUACUAAGUAAGCAACCAAGCAAAGGUCUCAGGCAGUCAGUUCCAGAUUGGAGGUUUGAUUUCAGGUUCCGACUGACUGCUCUCUUUCUCUUUGUCCUGCAGGUGUGGACAAGGACGAAGACAAGGACAGGGAGAAAGCAUGAUAUGGGAUACUCUUGCUUUCGACCCUGAUGAUAUGAGAUACUCUUGUUCUUGGUGUGGCUUAUUUGCUGAGGUAUUAUAUGGGGGAAAUAAAGCUGAGUAUUCGAGAGGUUAUGUUGAGGGUGCAUUCUCGAAUGCGAGAAAGGGUUGAGCAUUUUUGCAGGUUUGCCUGUCCGUUAAGGAUGGAGGUCGAUGUAUAUAGGGAUUUCCCAAUAACAAGUAGUAAUGUUAUUCCUUUACCCUUCUUGGUCACAGCAAUGUAGUGGGAGCUGCCAGCUUCACGUGUUUUAACUUUGUCAAAGCACUUUGAAAAAGUGGUAUGUGGUAUCUGGAAAGCUGAUGUUGCGUGUGAAGAUUACAGACAAGCUUUAUCUAAGGAAAUCUGGCUCUCGAAGUUCUGAGAGCUGUGCCUCUUCGGUUUUCGAACAAGCAAUCCCGUCGGGCAUCUGGCUCUCGAGAUUCGGAAAGCGGUACCGCUUCGGUUUUUGAGAAAGUAAUUAUGUUGGGAGUCUUUUCUCGAAUGUGAGUAAAGGUUGGACGUUCUUGCCAGCCUGUCUUGUCACAGAACACGGAGGUCGACACACAUAGGGACUUUCCAGUUGUCAAGCAGUGGUGCUGUUCCUUUACCCUUGUGGGUAAUAGUAGGGUAGCUGGAACUUCGAAAUUCUCGUGCCUAAACUUUGUCAGAGAUCUUUGGCAAAGUUAUAUGUGGUACCCAAGGAGUUGAUGGUGCGUGUGGAGAGUGGUGAUUGAACAGUAAGAUUCACGUGCUUUCUACUUCACCAGAAAUCUUCGACAGAUUGCCCGUAAUUUCCGCAAAGCUGAGUGUGCAUGUGACAGGUGUUGACGAGGCUGAAAAAUCAGGUGCUUCUUCCAUUUCUGAGAUCGGCCCUCGUGGUUUCUGAGCAGCCCAGCUUUUGAGAAAGCAAACGCCUUUUCAAUUUCUGAAGCUCCGUCGAGUGCAGAUUUUUAUAAAGGCUGGCAUUAAGUUCCACAGCACACUUGAAUCUCCACCAGUAGAAGCUUCAUUCUUGCACUUCUAAGAUCUUGAUUUGUCUGACCUAUUCUCUCUUCAACACCUUUGAAAAUGUCUGGCCCCUCCGACCGUCGUUUUGACUUGAACCUUGAAGAAGAGGCAGCCACGCCUUCUCCAGACAACAUAUGGCGCCCAUCCUUCAUAUCCUCUACUGGUCCUCUUACCGUUGGGGAUUCUGUGAUGAAGAAUGAUAUGAUCGCUGCGGUGGUGGCUAAGAACCUUCUCACUCUCAAAGAUAACAGACUACUUUCCAAACGGUCUGAUGAGUUGGCUGUUAAGGAUUUUCAGGCUCUUAAUGUUCAGUGUGCAGCUUCUGUGUCUAAUAUGGCCCAACGCUUAUUUGCUAGAACCCGCCAAGUUGAAUCAUUGGCGGCUGAAGUGAUAAGUCUCAAACAGGAGAUUAGAGGGCUCAAGCAUGAGAAUAAACAGUUGCACAGGCUCGCGCAUGACUAUGCUACAAACAUGAAGAGGAAACUUGACCAGAUGCAGAAAUCUGAUGGUCAGGCUUUACUUGAUCAUAAAAGGUUUGUGGGUUUGUUCCAAAUGCAUUUAUUGCCUUCGUCUUCUGGGGCUGUACCGCAUAAUGAAGCUCCAAAUGAUCAACCUCCAAUGCCUCCUCCUUCUGGGGUUCUGUCCAGUACUGAGGCUCCGGAUAACCACCCUCCGGUGCUUUCUCUUUCUGGGAUUCUACCGACUGCUGAGACUUCCCCUAAGCAACAUUUGUGAAGGCUCCAUUUUGUUUGUUUAUUUUGACUCAUGUAUAUGUACAUAUUUGUGGCUUAUCGGAAAUAUUAAUAAAUAAGCUUUGCUUCAUUUCAACGUAUUGUGUUAAAUACACCAAGGCCUUCUUCACUAAGUUCUUUGAAUUUUUCCUUUUGUUGAAGCUUAUAUGUUGAAACUUUGUGAGUGAAGCAUGUAGGUUGAGGUAGUGCUCCCUUAAUUUCCCGAGUGAGGAAAACUUCUCGUUUGGAGACUUGAAAAAUCCAAGUCACUAAGUGGUCGUGAGACUUCCGAGUAUCAAGGUGCAGUAGCAUAUGGUAGGAGUCCCCCAAGUCUCUGGUCGAGGGAGUUGACGAAUGAGGCAUUUCCUUUCUAAGUGGUAGCCCAAAACUCCUUCUUCAUAUAUAUUUGUUAUGAAAGUUGUUAGGCCCAAAGAAGAGGAGGCCUAGGCAUUUUUUUUUUUUUUUUUUUUUUUUUUUGAAUUUUGAAUUUUCAAAUUUCCGGAUUUUUGAAUUUUUGAAUUUCCGAAAAAAAAAAAUUUAAAAAAAAAAAAUAUAUAUAUAUAUAUAUAUAUAUAUAUAUAUAUAUAUAUAUUAAAGCUUUGUAGGUGAAGCUUUGGUGUUGAAGCUUUGUAGGUGAAGCUUUGUUGGACACCAUGAAUUGAUUUUGCUUCACACUAUCUUGAUGAAGAGUGUGUGAAGCUUUUAUAUGUUUUGGUGUUGAAAUUUUGUAUUGUAGGUGAAGCUUUGGGGUUGAAGCUUGAUAGGUGAAGCUUUGGUGUUGAAGUUUUAUAGGUGAAGCUUUGGUGUUGAAGCUUUAUAGGUGAAGCUUUUGGGUUGAAGCUUUAUAGGUGAAACUUUUGUUGGCACCAUAAAUUAAUUUUGCUUCACACUAUCUUGAUGAAGAUAGUGCGAAGCUUUUGAGAUUGAUAUUUGUCCUCCAUUGAUGAAGCUUUUGUUGGCACCAUAAAUUGAUUUUGCUUCACACUAUCUUGAUGAAGAUAGUGCGAAACUUUUGAGAUUGAUAUUUGUCCUCCAUUGAUGAAGCUUUGUUGAAUUUCCCAAUUUCCAAUUUCUUUUUUUUUUUCUUUUUUUUUUUUCUUUUUUUUUUUCUUUUUUUUUUUGGGAAAACUAGAAAUUUGAAAAUGUGGGAGAGACAACGUAUACAAAUUUUGCUUCCACACUGUUGAGCGAGAGAUUGUGAUGCAAGCCACAUCUUGUAGUAGUCGAAGGUUUGGAUGAACCAUAUAAAUUGAAUUUGCUUCGAACAUUCUUGAUCAAGAGUGUGUGAAACUUUCUAUGAGUUGUAGUGUUUGCAUUGUUACAUAGGAGAAAUGUCUGAAGCAGAUGCAAGAGAGCUGAAGAGCUUGAUCUUCGUAUACCAUGCAUUGAAGCCAUUGUUGGCUUGCAAUAAGACUUUGUUGGUGACUAUAGCUCUUGUUAGGCAUAAGUGCUCCCCUAGUUGAGUUGUAAAGCUUGAGGGUUUUUGAUUAUUUGUGAAUGCUAGGAGUUCACAUGUACAAGUUGUACCACUCGUCUUCUGGUUAGUGGAAUGAAUGGUGGGUUGCUUUCAUCACUUGGUUGGUGGUACGAAUAUGAAUUCCUUAAUCACCUUUCAUCACAUUUCAUCACCUGGUUGGUGACAUGAAUGAGAGUACGCGUUGUACAUUUCAUCACCUGGUUGGUGGCAUGAAGGAGAGUAUGCGUUGUACAUUUCAUCACCUGGUUGGUGGCAUGAAGAUGAGUUCCUUCUUCACCUGAUUGGUGAUAAGGGUGGCAAGUUUCCAAAUAAUAUUAGAGUACGGGUUGUACAUUUCAUCACCUAGUUGGUGGCACGAAGGUGAGUUCCUUCAUCACCUAGUUGGUGAGAAUAAGGGUAAGGUGUCGAGGUACAUUGUGGCAAAUGUCGAAUGACAUAAAGUGUGUUGAACCCUUUCGAAGCACAGUUGACUUAUGUAUGGAUGUGUUGGAAUGUAUGAUGUUUAUGUAUGAAUGUGUUGGAAUGUAUGAUGUUUAUGUAUGAAUGUAUUGGAAUGUAUGAUGUUUAUGUAUGAAUGUGUUGGAAUGUAUGAUGUAGCUCCUUUGUAUAGUCUUGUUGACACAUACUUAGAUUUUGUUUUGUAUUGGAAACAUUUACGUUAAAGCUUCAACACUUGAGUGUUUCAUUGCUCAGAAUGUAAAAGAGUUUAGGGCUGAGUUGGCUAAAUCACCUCUUUAUUGAAUUCAUACCAAAUGGUCUUUGUUACAGAGGAUGCCGAACGGCUGUAGCUUAACACUUGUAUAAUGUGAGUUUAUUUGUAAUAGUACUUCAAAUGGUCAGCAUUCCAUGGAUAGCCAAGAGUCUUACCGUCGGAGCUUCUGAGCUUGUAGGAGCCAGGGCGGCUGAUGCCGACAACCUCGAACGGUCCAUCCCAGUUAGGACUGAGUGUUCCUUCACUCGGGACUCUAUCACAGAGUAAUCUUUUCUUCAGUACCCAGUCUCCCACUUUGAAAGAGCAAGGUUUGACCCUUGAGUCGUAGUAGUUGGAGAUGCGCUGCUUGUAGGCGACAUUCCUCAGGUGAGCCUGAUUUCUGUGUUCCUCAACUAGAUCCAAGUUGAGGGUGAGUUGUUUGUCGUUUUCACUCUGUAUGUAGUUUUGGAUUCGGUAUGUUGCUUGCUCAAGCUCAACCGGGACAACUGCUUCUGUACCUAAAGUAAGUGAGAAUGGAGUUUCUCCUGUGGAAGCCCGAUAUGAAGUGCGGUAUGACCAAAGAACUUGGGGUACGAAUUCUGGCCAACAACCUUUAGCUUUGUCCAAGCUAGUUUUUAAAGUGCGCUUGAUUAUUUUGUUAAUGGCCUCGACUUGGCCAUUAGACUGGGGAUGGGCUGGAGAGGCAAAACAUAAGUUGAUGUUGAACUUAGAGCAGAACAUCCUGAAGUUCUUGUUGUCGAAUUGCCGCCUAUUGUUCGUGACUAUCGCAUUGGGAAUGCCGAAUCUGCAGAGGAUGUUCUUCCAUACGAAGUCUUCUAUUUUUGCCUCAGUAAUGGUUGCCAAGGGUUCUACUUCAGCCCACUUUGUGAAGUAGUCAACUGCAACGAUUGCAUAGCGUACCUUGCCCUUCCAUGCAGGCAUUGGGCCGAUCAAAUCAAGUCCCCAUUGGGCAAAGGGCCAAGGGCUGAUCAUAGGAGUGAGCGGCUCGGGAGGGGAGUGAGGGAUAGUUGCGUAGUGUUGAUCAUAGGAGUGAGCGGCUCGGGAGGGGAGUGAGGGAUAGUUGCGUAGUGUUGACACUUAUCGCAUGAGCGAGAUAUUCUAAUGGCAUCUUGGUGGAGUGUUGGCUAAUAGUAUCCUUGGCGAAAAGUCUUGUGUGCUAAGGAUCGAGACCCAGCAUGAUCUCCGCAGACUCUUUCAUGUAUUUCCCGAAGGACAAUUUCCGCCUCCGCAGGUGUAAGGCAUCUUAGGUAGGGCAGGGUAAAACCGCGCUUGUAGAGUUGGUCAUUAAUGAUCAGGUAGCGAGCAGACUUGUAUCGAAUCUGCUUAACUUGGACUUUGUCAUUUGGGAGGGUGCCAUGGGCAAGGAAUUUAUAAAUUGGGGUGAUCCAACUAUCUCCUUGUUGUAAAUUGCACACUUCCGCGACCAUGGUGCUUGGUGCUACCAACAAUUCGACAUGAAUUUUUCUCCCAAUCUUGUCUUCCACUGCCGAGGCGAGGCGUGCCAAAGUGUCUGCAUGACUGUUUGCCGCUCGAGGAACUUGGGUGAUCUGGUAGUGGAAGUGCUUGAGCAAAAGUCGUGUUUGCACAAGAUAUGCUGCCAUGGAGCUAUCCUUAGCAUCAAAGUUGUUUGUGACUUGGUUGACCAUUAAUUGGGAGUCACUGAAGAUAUCAAUUCGUUUAACCCCAAGAUGCUUGGCCAAACGUAAGCCUGCUAGAAGGGCUUCGUAUUUGGCCUCGUUGUUCGAUGCCUUGAAUUUGAAACGAAUAGCGUAUUCUAUCGCCACUUUGUCGGGGGUAGUGAGGACUAAUCCUGCUCCGCAGCCCUGUUGGUUGGAUGAACCAUCAACAUAUAGACUCCAUGUUGGGGUUGUUGGUUCUAUCUUCUGAGCUUCUGAUGGUAAUGAAGCUACUGCUUCAGGUGUAGAAGCAAUGUCAACAGGAUAUGUGAAGUCGGCGAUGAAAUCUGCUACUGCUUGACCUUUUUCGGCUGGUUUUGGUUGGUAGGAGAUGUCAAACUCACCCAAUGCUAUCGCCCAUUUGAUCAUUCGCCCAGACGUGUCAGGACUCUGGAGUAUCUGUCGAAGAGGGUGAUUAGUAAGCACAAUGAUGACGUGUGCUUGGAAAUAAGGGCGAAGUUUUCGAGCAGACAUGACCAAUGCUAGAGCUAAUUUCUCAAUGUUGGAGUAUCGUGUCUCCGCAUCUUGUAGGGCCUUGCUAGCAUAGUAGACGGGCCGUUCGACACCACUGUCCUUUCGAAUAAGAACAGAACUGACUGCUGUAGCCGAAACCGAUAAAUAGAUAAUGAGAGUGUCACCAACUUCUGGUUUGGAGAGUAGAGGGGCUUUACUCAUGUACUCUUUGAGGUUCCUGAAUGCCUUGGCAUAUUCCUCCGUCCAUGUAAUGUACUUCUUAUUUCCCUUGAGUGCUUUGAAGAAAGGAGCACAUCUGUCUGUGGCCUUAGAGAUGAAUCUGGUUAAGGCUGCCACCUUGCCAGUAAGGCUUUGGAUGUCUUUUGAAGUUACUGGCUCUUUCAUACCGAGGAUUGCUUUGAUCUUUUCGGGGUUAGCUUCAAUGCCUCGUUGGCUAAUCAUGAAGCCUAAGAAUUUGCCAGAGCCCACACCGAAGGCACAUUUGUUGGGGUUCAACCUCAUUCGAUACCUCUUUAGAAUGGUGAAAGUUUUAGAUAGGUUGGUUAUGUGUUGGUCAGCAUGUUUUCUCUUGACUAACAUAUCAUCAACGUAAACUUCCAUGCUCUUCCCAAUCUGUUCGGCGAAUAUUGAAUUGACCAGUCUCUGAUAAGUUGCUCCUGCAUUCUUUAGACCGAAGGGCAUGACUUUGUAGCAAUAUAGUCCCCUGUCAGUAGCGAAGGCUGUGUGUUCUUGGUCUGAGGGGUUCAUGAGGAUUUGGUUGUAUCCUGAAUAAGCAUCCAUGAAGCUCAAAAGCUCACACCCUGCUGUAGAGUUUAUAAGUCUAUCAAUGAGAGGAAGGGGGAAACUAUCCUUUGGGCAUCCUUUGUUUAGGUCGGUGUAGUCGACACACAUUCUCCACAAGACCUUUUGAAGCAGGAGACUUUCCUUGGUCGGAUUUUUCUUAACAAGGACAACAUUUGCUACCCAUGUUGGGUAAUUGACUUCACAGACGAAGCCUAUGUCCUUGAGUUUUUCAACUUCUGCUUUCAUCGCCUCGUAUGGUUCAACAUCAUAAGAUCUUCGCUUCUGUUUUACUGGUUUGGUCUUGGGAUCAAUACUCAAGUGGUGACAGAUGAUAUCGGGAGAGAUGCCCGGCAUAUCUUUAUAUGACCAAGCGAAGACCUCGGCGUUCUCUUGCAAAAAUGAGAUCAGCGACAACCGAAGGGGUGGUGACAAAGUGGUGCCAAUCUUCACCAUGCGAUCUGGAUGGUCUUUGGUAGGGGUGGGCACUUGGAACCGAAAACCGAAACCGAAACACGAAUCGAAUCAAACCGCACCAAACGGUUUGGUUUUGCGGUUUUGAAACGGUUUCGGUUUCAAAACCGAACCGCGGCACCCAAAACGGUUUGGUUUCGGUUUUGGGUUUUCAAAACCGCACCGAAACCGAAACCGCACUUUUUUAUUUUUAUUUAGUUCAUUAUUCAACUAGGUUAUACAGAAAACUUAUACAUUUGGUUUUGCGCCGCUAGAACUUCUGGGUUUGCACCGACGACACCGAGUGGGUUUGCGACUGCGUCUGCGCCUCCUUGCAUCUCCGCCUGCGAGCGACUGCUUCUGCAUCUGCUUCUGCCUGCAUCUACCUCUGCAAGUCACUGCUUUCAUCUAUGCCUUGCCUCCAAUCUUGGAGUCGACACACCCAGAGCAGAGGUAAAAAUUUCUCAUCAUCUGUCUUCAAUUUCAUAUAUGUUGUUGUUAGAUUAAUUCGAAUGUUAGGCAGGUUUGGGUUUGUUGUUAGAUGAAGUUAUGUGGUCACAAGUGACCUAGUACGGUUUUCAUUUUUGAUAUCUCUGUUGAGACUUGUAUUGCUUCAAAAUGUUUUUCUUUGCUGUCUUGCUAAAUUACGGUCCUUCACAGAGAUAAGGAUUGCUAGCCUUCAAGUUGUCUCCUCUAUCAGAGUUAGUAUAUGAGCCGUGUCUUGUUGACAGCCUUUGUAGGGUUGGAAAUGCUGAUAAUUUAGUGUUGUCAAAGGGGAAGCAAGCAUAAGGGAUUUGUUUGGGGCUUAAGUUUGAUUACUGCUGCCAACACCAAGAAGAAAAUUAAUAGAGAAUCUUAUUAUUUCCAACAUGGUCAUCAAUUGGCACUUGACAGCGUCUUAACCAAGAUGGUUAUUCAGAUCCAUCUUCUAAUCCAUUAUUGUUAGUUUUUGAACAACUGAUUUAGUGGUUGCAUUUGACUUGUAUUUGGCAGGUUGAGGACUAGAUGAUUUCUUGGCAUACGAUCUUAUGGUGCAAGGUUAGUAUUAAAUGAGAGGAAAAUUUACUUCUUGGCAUACGAUCUUAUUGUGGUUUGCUCUUUCUACAUGAUGAUGUCUGCAUUUAUAGGGAAAUUCAGACAUUUGCCUGUUGUGGAGAAUGGAGAGGUCAUUGCUUUACUUGAUAUAGCAAAGUGUUUAUAUGAUGCCAUUGCUCGAAUGGAAAGAGCAGCUGAAAAGGGAAAGGCUAUUGCUGCUGUUGUGGAAGGUGUUGAAAAACAUUGGGGCACAUCUGGUUCUGGUUAGUAGAGAGUUUAGUGUUUUCUUUAGACAAAGAAAAGGAAGAAGUGACUGAAAUUACACACACAAAAGAAGAUGGCACUGUAAGGGAGAAGCUAAGAUCGGAAUAAACUUUUUAUGAGUUUUUCAUACUGUCUUAUCAUCUGAUAAGUUCUCCCUACACGGUUUUGUUAUUGGUCGAGAUGCAGGAUUCAUAACGUAUCACUGAUAGAUAUGAACAUGCGAAAAAAAUGAUGUUUAUUUUAAAUGGCACCAUCGGUCUAUUUUCUCCUUAUAUAUCAUGACGGUUUCAUCUUUAAUGUAGGUGCUUGAGACUGCCAGUACAGAGCAAGAAACUGGAGAACAUGUGGUGUACGAAAUUCAUACUGUCGCAAAACCCCCUCAAGAUUCCAUUGAUAAAGAAACAAAUGAAGAGAACUCCGCGGAACAUCAGGUUUACCUGGACACAAACAUAAAGCCUACAAAAGUGAUGUCCUUUUUUCUUCGUCUCCAAGUACAUAACCUUUGUGUUUUUCUUUUCCUUCCAAUGUUAGGCAUGUACUGAGGUGGCUGAUUUGAGUACAACUGCAGAGGAAACGAACUUAGAGGAACAUGCCAUUCAGGAACUCUCUUCUCCGCUGGUAGUAGAAGAAGCAACUCUCUUCUCCUUUGUGUUUUUCUUUUCCUUCCAGUGUAAUUUUUGCUGCUGUUUUUUGUGCAGUUUUGUGCACAAAAACCGUUUGAAACCGAAACCGAAACCGUUUGAAACCGCACCGAACCGAACCAAACGGUUUGGUUUCAUUUCGGUUUUGGCUUCAAAACCGCACCGCACCGCACCGCAAAAAGUUUCGAUUUCGGUUGUGGUUUCACUCGAAACCGCACCAAACCGCACCGCGCCCACCCCUAGUCUUUGGAGAUAGAGACAUUCUCUAACUCUUCAGCGGGUUGUGCUUGCUGGGUGAAGGAGUCAUCUCGAGGGUCAUCGGGUUGACUGUUGCCAUUAUGAAGAUCCGAGUUGGCUUCAUCUGGACUGGUCUUUACUACUUGGUUAUGUAUAGAAAGGGUCUCCUUGGGGACAGGCAGGUGUUGUUGCUUAACUGAAGUGUUGUAACAUGAUCAAGCACUAAGUUACCUCCCCUGAUGUAUCCAUUGCCGAAAGGGGUUGGAAACUUCAUCAACAACAUAUGUGUGGAUACCAUGGCCUUGAGAUCAUUGAUGCCUGUGCGGCCAAAUAUGACAUUGUAUGCCGUCGGGCAAUUGACCACUAGGAAGUUAGUGGUAAUAGUAGCUGUGUAGGGGCAUGUACCAAUGGUAAGGGGUAAGUGUAUACUCCCUAAAGGUUGCACGAUAUCGCCAGAGAAGCUUAUCAGAGGAGAAAUCGAGCGAUCGAGCAAGUGUUCAGCUACAUUAAGUGCCUUGAAAGCUUCAGCAAACAUGAUAUUGACUGAAGCACAUGUGUCUAUCAGGAUUCGUUUCACAUCAAAAUUUUCUAUGUGAGCCUCCACGAUCAGCGGGUCGUUGUGAGGGUAGAUGAUACCUCUUUCUUCCUCAGGGUAGAAACAUAUUGGAUCCCAGUUAGGCUUUUGAUACUUGCCUCUCCUGAUGUCUUCCACGUGAAACACUUGAUGGCCAGGUCUCAAAGUUCGUUCACUGUUUUUCAUGGCUCUAUUGGAAGAUUCAGACAUAGGUGUGCCGCCGCUUAUAGAAUAUAUCACAUUCACCUGGCGUUGGUUACGGUUACCCCUUGGAGGGUGAAGGAGGAACUGAUCAAUUUUUCCUUCACAUGCCAAAGCUUCAAUAUGAUCACAGAGGAUGACGCACUUCUCGCCAUCAUGGCCAUUAUACUCGUGGUAGCAGCAAAACAUGCCCGUGUUUUUCGUGGACUUGUAAUCUGGCUGUCUUGGCUUUGGCUUUGGUAUCAGAUGAGCUAUACUGGGGUAGAUGGCCGCGCAUGUAGCGUUCAAAGGUGUGUAUGUCUCAUACCUCGGGGUAGGGCAUGUCUUGACAUGUGAUUGGCCCACUGCAUUGACUGCAUGGGGACGAGCGUUAUUGUGACGAUAUCCUGAGUUAUCGCAAUAGUGCCUCUUAUUCUAUUUAUUAAAAUGAGAUUGGUGAGGAUGGAAAUCUUUCCUUUUGCCCUGGGAUUGAUACGUCUGCUGACUUGGCGAAGCAUUAAAUGAGGCAGGGGGGUGUGCUGCUACCGUUUGGAAGGUUGAGGUCUUCUCAUUCGGUUGGAUCUGGCCUCCACUCCCUACUUGCUGAUAAGGGGUGACUGUAGGGGGUUUCCCUUGAUAUGUCAUUGCCUCGGCGGAGGCAUGGUUGUAAGCUUGUGCCAUCACCUCAGAGUAAGUCUUCCAAGUGUUGGCAUUGAUCGUGUACUUAAAGAAACAGUCACGUAAGCCUGCCGUGAAGGCCUUGAGGGCGGUCUUGUCAUCUGCCUCAGCGCAACAAGAAUACUCAUGGCUGAAGCGGCCAGCAUACUUUCGUAAUGACUCAUCCGGCUUCUGGCGAAUAGUGUACAAGUCAUCUGCGGAAUGCAAGCGAUCGGUCUGGAAGAUAUGUUGAGAGACAAACAGCUUCCUCAACUCUUCAAAUGAGUCUACUGUCUCAGGUGGAAGACGGCAAUACCAGUUUAAAGCUCUGCCAGAGAGGGUAGAGGGGAAGAGAAGGCACCGUUCUUCGUCGGUGUGUCUCCAGUAUACCAUGGUGAACUCAAAUAGGUUAAGGUGUUCAAUCGUGUCUUCAUUUCCAGUAUAGAGUUGUAAGCCAAGCUUCUGCUUUGUCUUUGCUUGGAGGGGGUGUUGAGGAUCCUUCUUGUGAGGGGGCCAGGCCUAGGUUGGUUCCAAUCAGGUAUCUCGACUUGAUGUUCAGCCUUCAACUUGUUUACUUCUUCCAGGAGCUGUAGGACAAGGGGGUCCUGAGUGGAGUCGUGCACCACUGAAGUUUUCUUCCGUAAGUCCCCAUCGCCUCUUGUAAGUAGGAAAGUUUGAUCAAGAUAGCGUGAUUUUUCCUUGGACUCGCCACACUGACUCCUAGAGUGAGUAUGUCGGAAUAUUUCCGAGUCCCCUGUACCUUCAUGUUCUUCUGGGACUUGUUGCCCAUUCCCUAGAUUGGCCGCUGGCCUGGGUCGUGGAAGAGGACCGAGUCUUUCAGAAACUCUUGGGUCAUUGAUCUUCGAGCUUAUGUGGAUGAAAUUCUUUCGACGUUGCUUUAGGAAGUCUCGACAAUCGCGAUAGACGGCUUUUGAUCCUUCCACUCUCUCUGUGAAGAUGUGCUUUCCUCUACUUCUUCUGCUUCGGGUUGAAGCAGCUGGGUUGAGAGAAGUCUCAUGUUGAUUAUCACAUUGAUGUGUAGCUCGAUCCCUAUCAGGGAUGUCCGUGUUGGAUAUUGAUGACCCUCCGUGUUGGGGGGCAUUCAGAUGAUUGUUAACCUCAACAGGGGCGACGAGCUUGUGUGUUUGAGCAUGCCUAGCCUCGUGAAGCAUCUCGAAAAGUUUUUCAUAUUGUUCCUGGAUGACCUCAUUCUUCAUCGCUAUCUUGUUGUUCUGAACCUCUAACUCAUCGACUUUAGCUUGAAGAGUAACUCUAUUUCCUUCCUGCUUUCGUUGCUUCAUACUAGGUCCAAUUGGGGUGUCAUUCUGUGUGCUAUGGCUUCUUUUGCUCCCCAUGUCGGAGAGAGAUGCUUGACCAAAAGAAAGUGUACGAGCGGUGGAAACCAGCUUGACAAAGCUGAAGAGAGUGGGAAUAAGUGUCGUUUCCCACAGACGGCGCCAAAUGUUGAUGCACAAAAUCAGCGAGGACUUUGGUACAACAGAAAGUGUCAGGUUUGUGACCUUCGCUUGGUUGCUUCGAUCACUAGUGAAGAUAAGUAUGUAAAUGAAUAGGGAUAGGGAAGCAAACACAAGAUGUAUGUGGUUCACCCAGAUUGGCUACAUCCACGGAGUAGAGGAGUUCUCAUUGAUUGUGAAGGGUUUACACAAAUACAAAGGUUCAAGCUCUCAUUUUGUGAGUUCUAGUGAAUAGUUUAGUACAAAAUGACAUUAGAAAUUAUUGUGGGAGAAUGAUCCCUAUUUAUAGAAGAGAGUUUCUAGUUUUGUUCUAACAUUGACACGUAUCGUGUUGUGAUUGGCUUCUGAUGUUGACACGUGUCGCGCUGUGAUUGGCUUCUGAUGUCGACACGUGUCGCAUUGUGAUUGGCCUCCUGGUUGAAGGGAAGCUCUUCUGGGUCCUUAACGGUAUAACGUUGACCGGUGCUCAGUAGUUUCGGGAUUGGUCAAGUAUGGUACAAACAAAGCACAUUAUUGCUAGCCGAUUAUAAGGCUAAACUCAGUCCAUAUCCCUUAAUAUAGAUAAUAUCGGUUAUUUAAAAAAAAAAUAUUUUAAAAUUUAACUAGUAUAUACGAUGCGGGACUAUAUUUUAUUUCUUUUUAUAUUUUAGGGCUAAAUAUAAUCUAUUGAGGCUACAUGUUGCAUGACGUGGGCCAAACUUAAUUGACCAUUUUAGCCAGAUUUCCUUUUAGCUUUUGGUUGGAGAUUAAUUUUGUCAAUUUUAGAGUCUAAGUGUGGCCUGUAUCCCUUGGCCGAAGAAAAGCAAGAUGAAGACUUAACGCGCUAUUUGCAAAAAUGCUCUUUUAAGAUAUAUAUAUAUAUAUAUAUUUAUUUUUUUUAAAUCGAUAUUAUCUACACUAAAGAAUAGUGGGGUGAAUUUAGCCUCACUUUGGACUAGCAAUAAUAUUGUUCAAAUUCGCUUUAGUGAUAAUUGAAUUUAAAACAUCUCACUUAAAAAUGAAAAGAAAUAUUAUUAGACCGUAAUAUUAAGUGGUGCUCUUUAAGAUAUUAGAAUUAGAAUGACCUAAACAAACGUAUGUUUGGGGCCAUAUCAUCCAUUACAUAUCAUUCAUUCAUUAAUUAAAAGUGUUUAAUUUCACUUUUGCUUAAUUUUCUUCACGUUUUAUUCAUCAUUGUCUCAUCAGUUCCAGCAUUUGGUUUCAUCAUUUUUCCUUGAUCUUGACUUCUAAAAUCUUUAGGUUAUGCCUUGUCGUAUGAGCAUGUUCGUUGCCAUCGUACUUGUCGUCAUCAUCACCUUAUUUUUAUUUAUCAUCGUCUCUUCAUAUUUAUGUGAAUUGGAUAACAGCGAACCCUAAGUUUCUUCCUCCAAUCUUCGAUGCAAAGGUGUCUUUGGUUUCAUCAUUUUCCCUUGCUUUUAGACUUUAAGAUCUCAAGUUGUUUCUGCGAUCUCUUUUUUCUUUUGGUUCAAAGAAGAUGGUGAAUCACAAUUAUCCACUAUUUUCAAACUCAAAGAGCCUAGUUAGGAAUUUCACCAUAUCUAAGACCAUGAUAAGCAGAUUCACAGUUUAUAAAAUACCGAACUCAUGACCUCUAAAUGCUUUUAAGUUUAUUUGAAUAGGAUUUUUUUUUUAAAUUUUGUUUCAACAAUUAAAUCCCAUUAUUUAAAAAAAAAAUCAGUUGCUCUUUCUAGGACCAGAAAGACUCAUAAAAGCAUUUUCAAUCUCUCUUGAUCACCACAUCUUGUGAUUCACAAUGCGACGAGUCGAACCUAGGACGUGUUCUACGAAAUACUGACCUAAAAUUCGUCCCUAACUAUUAGCCAACCCGUGGUGGCUACAGUGAAAUCCCAUUUUGAAUAAAUAUUUUUUGUCUCUAUAAAUGCAUAUUCAAACAUAUAUUUGAUGUUGGCACACAAGAAGUUACACCAGCUAAUUUGAGCAACAAUAACUAGAUUGCUUAGUAGCCGUAACUUCAUGAUCAUCACCACCAAUAUGGAUGGUUUCCUUCGCACCACCGAGACUUUUACUCGCAACACUCGUUUCUUCCACUUUUGCUUCCAAACUUCUCUGCCUCGUAAUGUCAUGAAUCUUAGAAAUCAUAACCAAAAAUACUUGCUCCACGUUCACAUUCUCUAACGCAGACGUUUCCAUGAAGCACAACCCUUCUGCCUCUGCAAAACUUUUGCCUUCUUCCUCGUCGACCUCUCGAGACUGGCUCAAAUCCGACUUGUUUCCGACGAGGACAAUGACCAUGUCCAAAUUACCAAACUCGCGAAGCUCUCGCAACCAGUUUCUCACGUUUUCGAAGGAUUGUCUCCGGGAAAUGUCGUACACCAGAAUGGCGCCAAGCGCCCCACGGUAGUAUGAGCUCGUGAUUGCUCUAAAUCUGCAUUAAUAAACCAAAGUAUAAUUAACCACCACUACUCAUACGCAUAAGCAUAAAUAUAUUUUUCUAAAUUAGUACUUCCAACAAAAACAUUAACCAUCGCAAAAAUGUCUCUGUGUAGGAAAUAAUUCUGUUUAUAAGUGCUUUUAUAAAGAGGUCGCACUUGGUGCGAUGGCAAGUGCCUUCGCCCAUGAGCGGUAGGUCUCGGGUUCGAGACUUGGGAGCAGCCUGUCCAUAAAUGGGGGUAAGGCUAGCCGACAUUCACCUCUCCCAGACCCUGCGUAAAGCGGGAGCCUUGUGCACUGGGUACGACCUUUAUAAGUGCUUUUAUAAGAAGUGAUUUCAUUACAGACACGUCCAAAUGCUUCUUAAAAUGCAUCAUGAAGAAGCACCUAAUAGAUGCUUGUCCAAAAAAUACUCUUGUAGUCCAUAAACACUUACAAGUUUUUCAAUGUAGUCAAAUUGGCAUAUUUCUUUUACGAGCAAUAUUAGUGGAAGGCAAAUCGAAUCAAGGAUUUCAUGUGUAAAAGAUUAAUAUUCUUAAUCACUUGAACUACAAAUCCGUUACUACAAAAAAUAUUUUUAACCCUUAAAAAACAGUCUCAAAACAAAUCUUGAAUUCCACUAAUUCACGGAGUGUGGAUCACACUCAUGAUGUCUUGUAUAAUCACUUUACUUUUUUCCUUUUCUGAACAAUAAUCACAUUACAUAUUAAAUAGUUGUUGUGCGAUGAUAGGAACUUUUCUCUACCACCUCAAGAAUCCAAGAUUAAGAAAGUUAACUGAAGAAGGUGAAAAGCAGAAAACUAGGGCAAAAAUCACUUCACCUUAAUUAGCGGCCACCUAAUGGUUAGUCACUUACGCUCACCAGUAGCAACAACGAUAAAGACAAAAGAAAUUCAGAAAAGCAAAUAAAAAGAACUCCAAACUUUGAGCUCUAUCCUAGUGCUACUUAAAAAAAAAAAAAAAACUAAUGAAAAAAAUUUAAAAACUUUGAGUUUUAAUGAUAAGGACAAAAUAAAAGGUAAAAUAAAUAGUAGCAAGUUUGACUUUUUAGUGUAAAAAUAUGAUUUUUCGUUAAAGUAAACAGUACCGUGGGCUUUUCGUUAGAACUUCCUUAAAAAAAAAUGCAAAAGUGAAAUACCGAGGAGAUUCUCUUAAAAGUAUAAUUUUUUAUAAUUAUUUUUUGGUUUUUUGCAUAUAUUUGAUAAUGUUGAUACAAAAGUUAAUGUUAAACUAGUAGGUGACAAAGAGUCUAUGAUGACUCUCACAAAGUCGGAUUCUUCAUAAGAGAAACGCCAAGAAAGCUCUCUCAAAGUGAGAUUGUCCAUAACCUUAUGUUUUUUACACAAUGUUUUAUAAUGGCACAUAAAUUAUGUAAAAAACAUGAGGUGGUGACAAGUCCAUAGAGAGUCUCACUUUUGAAAAAAUCUACUUAAUAUUUCUUCGUAGACUUUCUCCUUUAACGUCAAUUUCCGCGAACAUUAUAAAACAUUUUAUCAAAACCAUGAGACGGUAUAAAAGUCUAUUUGGAGAGUUUCUUUUUAACAUUUAUCAAUAUAAAUUUUAGGUUAAAGGGCCCCACCAGCGUGGAUUAUUAAACUAGGGGUAUAAUUACAACUUUUGACGUUAAUGGGACCAAAUCAUGAAGGGAAAGGCAGGGUUGAACAGUUGUGUUCAUAUCCAUAAUUUAGUUGCUUCAAAAGAUCGGCAAACGUAAAAGCAUCCUUAAACCAAAAGGAAAAAAAAUAAGAGAAAAGCUAGGGCAAUUUUGGGAAAACUGAUCGCAUUGAAAAAUAACAUUCAACUUGCAUAAAUAUUCUACGUAAUCAGCGCAAAGGAUGUCGUUUGAUCUAUAACACAAGAAAAAUAAAGCAUGGUAGUGGACAAAGGGGAAAAUGACUAACGUAUGCAUUCAGAAUGACACAUACGUUCCAAACCAAUAAUACAACACGGGCUUGUUUUGCAGUAUUUUCAAAAUGGCUGAAGAAAAUUCUUAAUUAAAAUGCAAGUAAAUUAUGGAAAAAAAACACUUGAAGUGUUUUUGUAACUCAAAAUAUAUUCUCUAUAAAAGUUCUUUCAAUUAUCUUAGAAGUACUUUCAAACGAACCGUAGGAUCGCCCAGUAAGAGGAGGUGGGUUUUCUAGUUAUCCAGUUAUAAGUAUAUGCAUGUUCUUCAAAUAUAUUCCAAAGACUAUGAUCAAGUGAAACAAAAUCAAAUUUAAGAAGAUGAAGUGAGGGAGGGAGGCGUACCUUUCUUGGCCGGCAGUGUCCCAAAUUUGAGCCUUGACGAUCCUAUCGGCAACCUUGAUAUUCCGGUAAGCGAACUCGACGCCGAUGGUGGGCUUGGAAUCCAACCGGAAUUCGUCUUUGGAAAACCUGGAUAGCAAAUUCGAUUUGCCAACUCCGGAGUCUCCGAUCAAAACUGCCUUAAACAAGUAAUCACACUCUUCAUCAAUCGAAUCACCCAUCAACAUGUAUGGUAAUUACUUGAUGAUCCAAUUAAUUACAACUCUUAAAACACUAAUUAAUCAUAAACAUAAAGACAAGCUAAGAAAACUUGAAGCAAUUUGGGAAGAGGCAGAGCAAAUGAAAGGUGGAGGAAGAGACCAAUAUGUUGGACAUAUAUAUAUAUAUAAUGUGUGUGAACAAGUCCAAAUCAGUAGAGCAUGAGGAAAUGAAUUGAAAUUGUUCAUUUGCUUUUGGAGGGUAGUGAGUCCUUUACAUGUGAUAACAUUGAAAAAGACAUGAUGACUGCUCCCUUUAGCACAAAUUAAGCAAACUUUAUUUAAGACCUACACUGAGGUGGAGGUCAGCCUCACAAUGAAUUAGCCAUAAAAAUUUAUUUCGUAUUCGCAUUUGGUAAGGUGAGAAUCGAACCUAAAACGUCUCACUUAUAAACUAAUCAAACGUAAUCUCGAAUUCACCUCAAUUCUUUUCUUUUGCACAAAUGAAUUUAGUCCUCACGACAACUUAUAAUUGAUAAUGUUAGCGAGAUACAAAAAUCUCAUUUACAUUGAAAUAAGUGUUUGACUAGUAUAAAAAUUUUGUGUUUUUAGUGAAGAGUAGUUUGUUGUCACUCCCGAUUUAUUGAAAGUGCCUUGUAAAUUUAAAAUUUGGACAGUAAAUAGAAUAAACCGAACUCAUCCAGCGAUAAACAAAGGACGGUGAGCAUGACCACUGUUUAAAGUGGUGAGCUAAUAUAACUCCAAAUUUGAAUGCUGAGAGCAUCAUGUGACAGUCUUUUUGUGUGACAUGACACGUGAUUAGAUUUGGAUAUAAUUGGUACUGGACUUCAUAUUUCCCGUGAAACAACAGUGUCCAGCCACAUUGACCAGGCCUGUCCUUACCGCAGAAACAGAUUGGGCCUUAUGAUGAAGCCCAUUCAGUUUUUGGGCUUCAAAACUUAUCUGAAUUGUUUACUUUUCUCAUCCGCAACUACCCAAAACAAAUUAUUCGGACGUACGAACCAACAUAUUUUUUUUUUUCAAAACCUCACCUACAUGUAAUCCUAACACAUCUCUAAUUAAAAAAAACUUCCCACACUUUAUAUGUGUGCUCAUAUGCUAAUUAUAUUAGAGAGUAUCAACGAGUGCGUCAGCUACUAAAUAAUCGGUUAACAGAUGAGUGAGGUUUGCGUUUGAAAUAGCAUCAGCGGUUACUUAUUUAAUUAAAUCAAAGGAAAACUAACCAAAAGGGCUUGAAAAGUUUAACUUUUAACCAAAAACCACAUUGAAAGUUUAUUUAAUGGUUAGUACAAAGCCCAUUAUUAUAUCAGCCCAAAUACAAUAGUCCAGACUAAAUAAUAUUGUGGUUUGUCAAUUUUACCCCUAACGGAUGUGGUUAACCUAAUUUACCUAUUCUGUUAGAUUACUCGGUUUGGGGUUAACCUAAUUUACCUAUUCUGUUAGAUUACUCAGUGGGAUUUUCAAUUUUUUAUGAAUCUGGUUGAGUGGUUUGAGUAAUGCUUGCCGACGAAUGUUGAGAGCGCAUUUUGAAAUCGUGAUCGCCGUUGUUCUAUUUUUCCGGAAUAAACAUUUGUUUCAGAACAAAUUCGCAGUAGUUUCAUAUUUUGAGAUUCUACUGAAUCGUUGUCAUCGGUGUUGUUCGUUGUGCUUGAAUAUUUUAACUGGAGUGAUCGUCUUUCAUAUUUGGUUAGAUUUUCGUUUGGAGGUAAUCGACAUUGUUUUUGCAGUUUUGUAUUCGAUUUUGAAUUCGAUUUUUUGUUUAAUUCGAAUUCGAUUUUGAAUUCGUUUUUGUAUGUAAUAUGCUUCGCUUUUAUUUGACUUUAUAUAUUGUUGUUGAUUUGUUUUCAGAUUAGCAGAUUGAUUCGGUUUGUGAACUUUUCAGUUAGGAGUUUCGAAGAAUCUCAGGUAAGUUUUGAUUUGUUUUUUUUUUUUUUUUUUUUUUGAAUUGGAAUUCGAUUUUGAAUUCUUUUUUGCAUGAAUUAUGCUUAGCUUUUUAUUUGACUUAUAUAUUGUUGUUGAUUUGUUUUCAGAUUAGUAGAUUGAUUCCGGUUUGUGAAAUUUUCAGUUAGGAGUUUCUUAUUUUGAAGAAUCUCAGGUAAGUUUUGAUUUUUUUUUUUUUUUUUGUUUUGUUUUGUUUAUAUUGUAUGUUGGUCAUCUUGAUUUUGUUUUCUUUUUCAGAAAUUUAUUAUGAAUUAAUUCGUGUUAUACACAUUUGAUGUUGUUAACAUUUUUUCAGAAAUAGUGUUCUUUUUUUAAUGAAACAGUGUAUAUUCAGUUUAUUUUCUGUUUUUUGUGAUUCUUGUGUUUAUAAACUAGUGUAAUUUUGUUCACUUUAUAUGUAUAUUGUUUAACUAAUAGGUGUUCAUCACAUUUUAUGUUUUUUAACAUUUUUCAGAAAUAGUGUUCUUUUUUUUACGAAACAGUGGAUAUUUCAGUUUACUUUUUUUUUUUUGUUUUGUUUUUGUUUUUUUUUUUUUUUUUUGUGAUUGUUGUGUUUUAUAAAUAGUGUUAUUUUUGUUCGUUUUAUAUGCAUAUUGUUUAAUUAUUAGGUACUGAUUUGUUUUACAAAGAUUUGAAUUUAGAUUUGCAACCGAUUAAUAAACAGUUGUUGUUUAUUAAUAAACAGUUAUGGAGAAUGGUAAACUAGCUCGGUUUACAUAUGGUGGUUUAUGCGUCGUUAGUUCUAUUUCAUCAUCUUCUACCUUCAAUCAGAUUUGCAUUGAUCUUUGUUCUAGGUUUAAGGGUUUGAGAGUUGGUUGUUUUGAGUUGCGAUAUGGUUUGAAUGAAAAUCCUAAUUGCGUGUUAGAUUGUGAUGCCGAUGUUCUAAACAUGUUGAUGGUUCUUGAUGUUGUUGGGAAAUCGAUUGUAGAAAUAUUGGUUAUAGACAAAUGUGAUGGUUCCAUAGUUCAGUUACCUUCGGAAAGCACAUCUUCUUCUUGCCGUACAUUAGACUCUAUGAUUGUUUCUAGUGAAAAUGAUCAUUUAGGAAAAUAUGGUUCUUACGGUGUGCACAAUUAUAUGUCAUGUGAAUGGGACAAUUACAUAGAAUCUGAGGGGCAAGUCUUUAGGGGAGGUUGUAAUGAUUUCCGAGAUAAGUUGAAGAAGUUUUCUGUUGAAUGUGGUUUUGAUUUGAAGUAUUUGAAGAAUGAUAAGAAUCGCAUUAGUGCGGAGUGUUCUAGGAAGGAAUCUGAUGGCUGUCUUUGGCAUGUGUAUGCAUCCAAGUGUGAUAUUAAUAACUUUUUUGUUAUUCGGAAGUUGCAUAAUCUGCAUACAUGCAAGGGUAUGAUUCGAAAGAAGAAAAACAAAGUUGUUGGCCGACAGUUUGUUGCUCUCUUAUCAAGGAUAAGGUUCAAUCAAAUCCUCUUAUUAAACCGAAGGAGAUCAUUUCAAAUUUAAAACAGUUUUAUGGAUUAGAUAUCGAUUAUUCUACUGCCUAUUUUGGCAAACAGAUGGCAGUUUUUGAGUUAAAUGGUGAUGAUGUUGAUGCUUACAAGUUCUUGCCUUGGUAUGUUGAAUCUGUUCGUUCAAGCAAUCCUAGAUCUGUUUUUGAGCUUGAAGUUGUACCGGAGAGCAAUAGAUUUCUUCGUUUGUUUAUUGCUUAUGAUGCAUGGAUAAAAGGUUUCAUGUUUUGUCGCCCGAUGUUAUUCAUUGAUGGUACUUUUAUCAAGAGCAAAUACAAGGGAACACUUCUGUCUUGCUGUGCAAAAAAUGGUAACGAUUGUGAGUUAAUAAUUUUAGACUUUUAUAUUGGAUAUUAUUUGUUUAUGUUUUCUUACUGUGCAAAAGAAACAUAUCCAGAACUAGUUGAAGAACAGUUUAAGAAAUAGUUCAAUCAGUCUCAUAAAUAGGUGAUACUCUGACUGUAUCUGUUUUUUUUUUUUUUUUUUUUUUUUGGUGCAUUGGUCUUUGAUUUUAUGUUCAAAUAAAGAAAAAAGGUUGCAGAAGUAGUUCAAACAAAGUAUACUAAAUAGUUCAAUUACAGUUUCAGAAGUAGUUGACAUUUGACAGUGCAUUUUCACUUUUGCUGUGCAGAGAUUUUUGAGGUUGCUUAUGCUAUUGUUGAUUCAGAAACGAUAGCAAAUUGGAGAUGGUUCUUGGCAAUAUUAUCUGGUAUAUUGAGGCCUCAAGGGAGGGUGAUCACAUUGAUGUCGGAUAGACAUGAUGGUAUUUUGAAGAGCAUUCGAGAAUUCUUUCCCGAGUGUCCACAUUCAUUUUGUAUUGUUCAUUUGAAACAGAAUGUGAGUACUUUAUUUCCAAAGGCUGCUGGUGAAGGACUAAAGAAGAAAAUGAUGAAUCUGUUGACAAAUUGUGCGUACGCAUGUACCCCAUCUGAUUUUGAUGAUUGCAUGGCUGAAUUCAAGGAUAAUGGGCAAGGGCAUGUGAAGAAUUUUUUGUGUGAUUUGCCAAAAGAGAACUAUGCUAUUGCCCAUUUUCCUGGUAAGAGAUGGGGAUCGAUGAGCAAUGCACUUUCAGAAUCUUUUAACGCCAUGGUGUCGAAUAGUCGUUGUAUGCCACUUAUGGAUCUUCUUGAAGACAUUAGAGUUCGGUUGAUGGGUAGUAUGGCUGAGAAAAGAAUAGUUGGUCAGAAUAUUCAUACGAUUUUGUGUCCAAAGAAAGAAAAUGAGAUGAAGUUGAUGUUGAAGGAGGGCAUGCAUUGGAGGAUUAGUCGUUCUGAUGCAGAUGUUUUUGAAGUUAGAACAGAGUGGAAUCGGUUUGUUGUUUGUCUGGAUGAUAGGACAUGUUCUUGUGUGCAAUGGCAGCAUAAUUGUUUCCCAUGUUCUCAUGCUUUGCAGGUGUUGCAACAUGAUAAUCGUGAUGUUUUUUAUUACGUUGAUGAUUACUGGAAAUCAAGCUUUUAUCGGAAAACAUAUCAAUUUGUCAUGCAUCCAUUUUCAGAUUUGGAAAAGCCGAAUGUUGAUACUAUCAUAAAUGGUGUGAGGCCUCCAAUUACAAAGAUUCCGUCUGGAAGACCAAAGAAAACUAGGAUCAAAUCUGCUGGGGAAAUCAGUGGGAGUAAGAAGACUGUCACUUGUAGUAGGUGUGGUUGUUCGGGACAUAACAAGGUUUCAUGUAAAGUUGUUAUACAAGAGGGGUGAUUUUUUUUCUUUUUUGUUUUGAGAGAUGGGAGUUUUUGGUAAUAUGUACCAGAUUUUCAUUUUGGAUAUUUUUUUUUAUUUUUUUUCAAUUGGUGUUUGGGAGUAUGUAAUUGUUGAUUUGGAAUUAUGUUCGAGUAAUAAAUAUGAAUUCAAUGUUUAGUAUUUCCAGUUUUACGAAACAGUAUGUUGAGUUUGAUAAAUAGUUGAGUUUGAUAAACAGUGAAUACAUAUCUAUGUUUAUGGCUUUGUGGUUUCAAUAUCUGUUUUGUAGGUUGUAUGUAAGUUUGUGUGUUGCAUUUUGUAGGAGGCAAGUAUGUUGGUUUUCAUUCUUGAUCUAGUUAAUAUUCCAUUUUAGGUAAGAGAAAAUGAAAAAAAAACCACACUACUUAUGAAAGUGAAGUAGAAAACCACACUUUGUUACCAAAGCAAACUGAACUAUAUAUCAAAAUGAAUUAUUUAUGAUAGUGAACUAGAAAACCACUUUUUUAUCAAAGCAAACUGAACUAUUUAUCAAACUGAACUAGAAACCCACACUUUUUAACUAAGCAAACUGAAAUAUUUAUCAAAAUAGAUUAAAAUUUAGAUUAAGUCAUGAAACAUAUAUAUAUAUAUAUAGAGAGAGAGAGAGAGUUGUGUCAAAUAUGUUUGACAAUGACAUUUGUAAAUCAUAGCAAAAGUAAGCUUGAACAUGUAAGUAUUGCUUCAGUUUAGACCAAUACUUUCCACCAUCUCUCAGAUUUUCAUCUUGAACCUUAAAAAGUACAUCCGAAUCAAAAUUACAUAUAAUGCGUAUUUUGUAUUUUUUAUUCUAAUGUCCAAUGCUUGUGAGUUGUUGUGAGAUUUCGAUAUAUGCUUCUUGUUCCCUUGUCCAGCUGAAAUCAUGGUUCAUCAAAUCCACGAGGAUAUGUUUCCUUGCUUUCAUUACUUGAUGAUCUUUGAUACAUCCUUGAACCUUCCGGUUAGUUGAUAGUUGGUCAAUGAAGCUCAUCAUGUAUAAACCACAAUCUAAUCUGAUUUACAAAGAAAUUCAUGGAAUGAUUAUGAGUAUUAUAAUGAAAUGAAAUGUGUGGUACAAACUAUUUCUAUAACUGUAUCAAAUUAUUCAUAUUGUUUCUGAAACUGCAGUAAGCACAAACUAUACAUAUAUAUAACUAAAAUGCUUUUAAUUUUAUAACGUACGAUGUUGGUUUCUGUUGUGCACAGGUUCUGUCUUCUUUGAUUUGGAAUUCAAAGUCACUUUUGAUGGAAUUAAUUUUCUUCGUUGUGGCUUGAGUUGAAUCCAUAUCAUUUGAAUUGCUUGUUGAUUUUCUUGCUUUAUCCAGCCAAUAUUGAACAAAGUGGCCCUGCAAAAAUUUAUAAUGUAAUAAUAAGAUGAUUGUUUUCUAUAAAUAUGACAGAGUUUUUGGUUGUGGGUUUUGCUUACCACAAUUUCUGCAUUUUCCCAGUAGCAAUCAAAGUCCAGAUCUUCAUCUGUUGUGCUUUGUCGAAGAGAAUUGUAGUGAAUCAUUUCUGCAUUUUUUGUGUCCAAAACUACCAAGGAGAAAUGGUUGUAAUGAAACAAUGGGAAGAAAAUCUUUGAUACUAUUCCAUAUUGGUCCAUCAAUUGGUUGUAGAGCCUUUCCUUAUUUUGCAGAGUUGUUUCAAUGCUUUGUUCAUUGAUGUUGUGCUGUUGAAAAUGAAAAUUAUCAAACAUCAUAAUUACAGAUUAAUUGUUCUAAUUUUUAUAUGUAUAUGUAAAUAAUUUUUUGCAGAAUAUUAGUUGUUUUGUUUGCUCACAAAGAUUGUUGUGGAGACAUAGAAGUUCUUUUGUUUCGUGAUGUUCUCUUUUUCUCUUUUCAUGUAGCAGAAAGAAUCAACAAUCUGAGUUGAUGUAGGUCCAUUUGCCAUCAAACUGUGCAGGUCUUCUUUCAACACCAUUAUUUUGUAAUAGUUGAAAUCUGUAGUUUCAGCCGUCCAAUAUUCAUCGCUGCAGGACAGUGUAAAAGUAUUAGUUAUACAAUAAUUCAUCAGUGCUUAUAAAGUUAUGGGAGUGUGUAAAAACUUCAGUUAAGAGUUUUGUUUUGUAUUACUUACCUGCUGUCUAUUGACCAGAAUUGAGUUAUUCUUCUUCUAUCAUCUGGUUUCAGCAUCUUGUACACUUGAAGUUGUGUCCAAUUCACACUGCUGUCUAUGUGAUUUGUUGCUGGAAGGUCAUCCGGUUGUGAAGAAGGCUCAUCUUUUAAAUCCAGGUUGAAUGAUGGAAUUUCACCCAAGAGUUUCUUUCUGUUUUUUGUCAUUGGCUUUGCUGCUUUUUGGCUGAAUGUUUGCUUUUUGACUUGUAGAUCAUUCUUGUUGAGAGUAUUGUUGUUUUUUAGAGCUUCAAUAUCUGUUUCUUCAAUUUGUUGCUUGUUUGAUUCUGAAACUGGUUUGGCAUUUUCCUUUUUCUUUUUCUUUGGAACUGGUUUGUCAUUUUCCUUUUUCUUUCUCUUGAUUGCUGUUGGUGGUUGGAGUGUUUGGCAUCUUUUCUUCUGCAUCCUUGAUUCACAAUUGUUCUGUUCUUUAGGUUGUGUCUCCCUCUUCCUCUGCCUUUGUAGUGGUUGUUUUUUUUGCACCUUUUUCUUUGCAAUUUGCAUUGGUUCUCCAACUUCUUCUUCAGUAGUGGUGUCAAUCUGUAGAUGAAUUGUCUCCUUCUUCGUACGUGAUCUGUUUGCUAUUUUUCCAAGCAUUUUCCUUUGUUCUGUCCUCUUUGUUGUUUUGGAUAUCAUUUUGACAUUGGCUUUGGUUGAGUUUGACAUUUGUACAGUUAUUCUAACUGAAACCAUCUGUCAAUAUAAUUUUUAUUAGAUUGCAACUUGAUCGUAAACAAAUAAAAAUCAGUAUGAGUACACAAUUAUAUUUGAAACAUACCAAGGUGAAUUACUAUUUAUGGAAUUGGAAAACAUUUUUAUAACUGCAUAAAUCUUUAUAAGAUUCAUAUAACUAAAUAAAUUAGAAAUAAAAAUAUACAAUAAGAGGUGUAUUAUGUGUAAGAUCUGGAAAAAUUGCAAUUCUAUUUAUAAAUGAAGCAAUUGUAAACUGUUUCGUAAACACUGUUUAUUAAACUUUAAAAAACACAAACUAUUUACUUGUUCGUGAAUGUAUCCCAGAUUUUACUAUUUCCGUACAUUUCAAUUCUAUUUACAAAUGAAGCAAAUUGUAAACUAUUUCGUAAACAGUGUUUAUUAAACUUAAAAAUCGUGAACUAUCUUACUCAAAUAUAAAAAUUACAAACAGAGAAUCAUACUAGUUCGUGUAAUAGCAUAAUGUAUGUUUAUAUAUUGAACGAUUAGCUAGUAAAUAGUAUUUUAUUGGGUGGAUCUGUGAUGGAUUCGUACUGAUAGUAAAUAACAAAAUAAAUUUAAGCAAAUAGUAUAAUCUGGGUUUUGUUUAAGUUGACGCAUGUUAUUCUAUAUGCUUAAUUCCAGUAGAUGUUUGUUAUAUAAACAAUGAACCGUAUGAUUUUGUGAAAUAUGUUGAGAAAAAUUGUAAGAUUGUUACCUUUUGUUUAUUUUCUGGGUAUUUCUGCGACCAAGUUGCUCAGCGAAGUUGAAAUUUGCGUGAAUUCGUCCGUAAAAGAACUUGAAUGAUGUACGAAAUCGGGAAAUGAGGAUUGAUGAUUUGAGCUGGGGGCUGGGGGCUGGGUUUCUGGUUUUCUUUUUUUAUAGUGCAUGCAGUUUCUUCAUCGUGGCUUAUCUGUGCGUGAAAAUGAGAGUGGUGUUAGGGAGAGAAAGUGAAGUUAGCGCAUGAGUGAAAUGAUGAUUUUUGCUGGGCGUUAAUUAUGCGUGAAGGAUGGGGUGCUGAUUUGGAACUGAAAAAAAAAAAAAGUUGUUAUUUUUCAUUUUUUAGAUAUAGUGUGUACAUAUAUUUCAGAAACAGUUUAAGUUAUCUAGUUUUUUGUUUUGCAUAAAUUUAUCUAAUUUGGUAACUAUAUUUUUUGGAUAAUAAAAGGGAACUUUAACAAAAAAGGAAGUGUCAAAAUGUAAGCAUGUGAAAUUUUUUAAUAUAGUUCUCAUUCUUAUAAGUUAUAACUCAAAGAAUCAGGUAUGUGAAGUUGAUUGGCUUCAUAGUAAACUUCUUUUUCAUUUUUAUAUGGUUUCUUUAGAUGAGUAAUGGUAUUAGGCCCCCUAGGGCAAAAAAAAUUAUAAAACGUACGCAAGUAUGGGAUGGGCACCAUCAUACAAGCCCACCUGAGCUCGGGGUUUUGUAUGUAGAUGUACAUUGAUAUAAAAUGUAAUUUGUAAAACUCAAGCUAAUGUAAUAAAAUCCUCAUCAGGAAUGUCAUCAUAUUGACCAUGUUUAUUUUGUUGUCUUCUGUCUUCAAGUAUCUUCUUCAGUCCAUUUGCAUAACUAUUCUUGUGAUUCACAAGUGCAGUUGCAAUUUGAGUUCUUUUGGCAAAUACUUCUUCCUUCUCAAAGGUGUUGGCUUCUAUUGGGUUUGCCCUCUUGCACUUGGGUUGCAAAUUGAAUGACAAAUAUGCCACAAUCCAAUCUGCAUUUUUUUUUUUGGAUAAACAAAUAAGUAUGACAGAUAAUGAGAUCAUAUUAUAACAUUCGAUGACAUAUUAAAAGUGAAAAAAUGAAACUAUUUCUUGUUCGUAACACUGUUAUGCAAACUGGAACUAUAUCUGAAAACUAUAUUAUGACACUAUUUUGCAAAGUCUAAAUUUAUAGUAUAUUUUCUAGAAUGAUUUUGUUUUCUGUUUUCUGUGUCUCAUUUCCAUAUAUUUGUAGUUAGAUGACAUAUUAUUACUGAAAAAAUGAACUAUUUGUUGAUUUGUAAUACUGUUUCGUAAAGUGUAAAGAGUGAAAAAUCAACUAUUUCUGAAACUUCUUAUGACAUUAUUUUGCAAACUGCAAACUAUUUUUUCAAGUAUAAGUCUUGUGUUUGUAUAUAUGAUUUUCAUGGUCCUUCUUAUGUGUUUGAAUGUAUAAAUUUGAUUGAAAAAUAUAGAGAUCAACUUGUUGUUUGUACUUACGAGUCCUCCUUUUGUUGGGCGCAAGUUAAGCAUCUUUCAAUAUCUAUUGUGAGAUUGCUGUCUCCUUUGAAAUCUUUGUAAAAUGCUUCUAUUUUGUCUCUCUGCCAAAAACAAAAAAAACAAAAAAAACAACAAAAAAAAAAUUGUAUUAUGAAGUUUGAUUUUUCCUAUCAGAAUAAGAAUAUAGUUUGUAAUUGAAUUAUAGUUUUGUUCUUACCACUUGAACAACAUGAUCAAAGUAUAGGUCUGUAUUCCCAUGUACCCUUGGUAGUUUGGAAUUGUAGUGUGUCAUUUUUCCAUUUUUAAUGUCCCAAACUACCAAGCUGAAGUGAAAGUAAUGCUUGACCAAUAUGAAGACCUUUCCUACUUUAUCCACAUUAUCUUGUAAGACUGUCUUCAAUGUUUUGUCAAUGUGCUCCUGAUCAGUCUUGUUUUUCUCAAUCUCCAUAUCAUUCUGAACCAAGAAUACACAUGUAUUUAUUAAUCUUAAUUAAUGAGCAACACUAAUUCUUAAACUGAACCGAAAAAUACACAUUUUUUUUUCAAUCUCCAUAUCAUUCUGAACCAAGAAUACACAUUUAAAGUUUUAAAGUGAAUGCAAGGCCUUUUGUAGGAGGCAAGUAUACAAAGCAAACUGAACUAAUAUGAAAGUGAACUAUUUAGCAAAGUGAACUAGAAAACCACACUUUGUUACCAAAGCAAACUGAACUACAUAUGAAAGUGAACUAUUUAGCAAAGUGAACUAGAAAACCACACUUUGUUACCAAAGCAAACUGAACUACAUAUGAAAGUGAACUAUUUAGCAAAGUGAACUAGAAAACCACACUUUGUUACCAAAGCAAACUGAACUACAUAUUAAAGUGAACUAUUAGCAAAGUGAACUAGAAAACCACACUUUUUUGUAAACAAAACUGUUUGGCACUUACAAAUAUGAAUGAAGGAAGAUACAGAUUUUUUUGUUGCCUCAUUUUUGAUUCGUUUUCUGCCAUUGUGUAGAACGAAGCAUCAAUUAUGUUGGCGUCGAUUGCUCCAUCCACAAACAAUGAUGUCAGAUCUGAUUUUAGGACAACAAGGUCAGUCGCCAUGGACCCUUGUCUUGGCUGCAUCCAGAAGUAGUCCCUGUAUCAGAAAAUAAAACGUAUUAUAUAUCUAUGUAUAUGUGUGUGUGUGUGUACACAUGUAUUAAGUUAUGAUUAAUAAUGUAAACUUACAUUUUCUCUUGUCUGUAAUAUUUCUUGAAUUUUUCUUUUGUCUCAUCUUCAAGUAACUUGUACGCCCUUGUUGAUGCAGGUAGAUGAUACCGUUUGUCAAGCUUUUGCUUUACAGGUUUCUUUGCAGCCUUCUUUGCAGGUUUGUUUGCUAUUUCUUUAGCAAUUGGAUUCAAGGGUGAUUCAACCUUGGGCUCCUCCUUUCCUUUCUCAAUUAUUGGUUCCAAUAGUUGGCUUUCUGACUGAAAAAUUGAAGGGCUUUCACUGUCACUCACAGCAUAUAUAUAUUUUGCCUUCUUUUGUUUUCUCUGGAUGGGGAUAUAAUCAUAAUGUGGAUCGACAUUUGGUUUACGAUCAUCCCUCAUUCGAAUAUUUUUUACUAAUGUUCUCGUCUUCUUUUUGGCAGUCUCUUUUCCUUGUUUUUCAGCAUCCUUGAUAGUUGGAGUCUGCAUUUGAACAUCUUGUUGAACUCCGGAGGUUCCUUUUUCAGUGGCAGUGUCUUUUCCUUCAUGUUCUUGAUCCUCCUCAGCUUGAUCCUCCUCAUUUUCAUCUGGAUCAUGAUCAAUUGCAUGCCUUUGUUUUGGAUCCUCCAUAGCCACAUCAUUUUCAGUUGCAUUCUCUUGAACUGGAUCCUCAGUAGCAAUAUCCUUAUCAUGUGUAUGCUCUUCAACUUGAUCAUCAUUAUCUGGAUGUUCUUUAGGUGGUUAAUCCUCCUCUGGAUCUUCCUUGGUUGAAGCAUUUAUAUCUGGUACUAUUGCUUGAUUUUCCAGUAGCUUCUUCUUCAAACUUCCAAUUUCAUCCAGAAGUUUAUUUACUUUCAUAGAAGCUGCUGUGUUAUUUAAUUGCAACUGUAUCAUUUCUGUGUUCAUUGAACUAAUCUUCUGCUUGUCCUCAAGUCGUUCUUGCAGAAGCUUUUCAAUGUUUCUGUUGAGGGCUCCAGUUGUUUGAUUCAUUACAAUUGAAUUUGUGUGUAGGUUAUCGAGUGCAUAUAUCAUCAUGUGACUGAGGACUAGAUACCUCUUUUGAUCCAUGCUCGCACAUCUUUUAAACUUUUCAAAAUCUUCCACACCUAAUGUGUUAUCAAUCCCGAUGAAGUCCUUUUGAUAACUUGCAUCAAAUUUCAUGAAUUCUUCUUGGUACAGUUGAUCAAACUGUGACUGAGCUUCAGUGAUGGUGAUGCUUUGAUCUUCUUCAGCUCCAACUUCAGUUCUCUUCUUUUUCCUUCCCGUUGUCUUCUUUUCCUUUUUCUUGGAAGACUCAUUAUUUUGUUGAGGAUAAUGAAUGACAUUACAUUCUUCUUGGUUGAUGUUGGAAUGCUCCUUUGUUGGUUCUUCAGAACAAGGAAUACCUCCACCAAUCUACACAGUGACACAUUAAAUAGUUGUUAAAUUACAUAAUAAUGUCAUUGUUUCGUAAACAUUGUUUAUUAAACUUUAAAAAACGCAAACUAUUUACUGAAUGUACAAAUUAUUAAAAGAGAAUCAUACUAGUUUGCAUAAUAGAGUAAUAUAUGUUACUAUUUAUUGAAAUACACUUUUCUUUUUGACACUAUUUCUGUUUUAUAUAAAUGACACUAUUGCUUGAUCUGUUUUAUAUAAAUGACACUUCUGAAACUUUAAACUGUAAAGACCACUAUGUUAUGAAACUGUAAAGUGCAAAAAUAUACUGUUUAUUGAAAUACUUUUAUUAUUUGUCCUUACCUCAAUUUCUUCAACUCGAAUGUCUCUGAUUGCUUUGUGGAUUUUCGUUAUGUCCCAUCUUCCAAUGGCAGGAAUCAUGUUUUCUCGCCCACUUAUUGUCUCCACCAGAUUGGUGUGAAGACAAAUCCAAUACUGCAUGAAAUAAGAACUUUGAAUUACUUUCUUGUGUAAUUUAUAAGACAUAAUUCAUGUUUUUUAAAUAUAGUUCUUAUUUCUUACCAAAAUAAGGGCAGUGCAUCCGCUUGUUGUUGCUGAUUCUUCUCCAUUUUUCCUCUUUUUCUUCGAUUUGUUAAUCCUCUUGAACAAGUAGUCCCUCACUCCUUUUGCCCAGUUGUAUUUGCUGAUUUGGUCCAAAGCUCCACAAAUUGUUAUGAAGCUCCACGCUAUGUAAGUUCCAGAUGUUGCAAAUAACAGUGAUUGUAGCAGAUGCACACAUAUAAUUGAAGCAGUAGCUUUUGCCCCUUCAGGAGUUUUGUCUUGGACUGAUUUUUGGUAUGCUUCAACAAUGUCCUUUUUUUUCACUAUUUUUUGCUUUGCAAAGUAUGCUUUGACAAAGCUGUCCUUCAUGUUCUUUGUGGAUUUGUCUGUAUUUGGUAGUUCAACCCCUUGGUUGUUCAAUCCAAAUAUUUCAACGACGUCUUCACUUGUUAUUGCUUUUGGCUCAUGAUCUCCGAAUUUGAACUGUUGUUGCUUGGAAUCAUAGCAUUGUAUGAUCUUGAUCAGAUCCAUAUCAGACUUCUUUUUUCUGUCCGUUGCAACAAUUUCAUCAUUCAUGUAGAACUUGAUUAGACUCCAAAAUGGUGUUUCGGCCAAAUGAUUGAUGACAUCUUGGCGUUGUUGAAGCAUUGGUUUGUACAAUUGCAUUGCAUUUGCAAACCCGAAAACGUUGCAUCUAUAUUGAACAUAAGAAGUUGCAGGUCUUUUAUUCUCUUUCUUACGUGGACUCUUUACAGCGAAAGUCUUUAUUCUUAGUUUCUUUGUUCCGUCCAUCUGUAAGAAUAAACAUAGUUUAAUUAUUACAACUAUUUUUUACCAAAGCAAACUGAACUAUUUAUUAAACUGAAGUAGAAAACCACACUUUUUUACCAAAACAAACUGAACUAUUUAUCAAAGUGACCUAGAAAACCACACUUUUUUUACCAAAGCAAACUGAACUAUUUAUCAAACUGAACUAUUUAUCAAACUAAACCAUUUAGCAAACUGAACUAUUUAUCAAACUAAACUAUUUAUCAAACUGAAGUAGAAAACAACACUUUUUAACCAAAACAAACUGAACUAUUUAUCAAAGUGAACUAAAAAACCACACUUUUUUUACUAAAAUAAACUGAACUAUUUAUCAAGGUACACUAGAAAACCACACUUUUUUACCAGAGCAAACUGAACUAUUUAGCAAACUGAACCAUUUAGCAAACUGAACUAUUUUAUCAAAAAAUGAAGUAGAAAACCACACCUUUUUACCAAAACAAACUGAACUAUUUAUCAAAGUGAACUAAAAAACCACACUUUUUUACCAAAGCAAACUGAACUUUUAUCAAACUAAACUAUUUAGCAAACUGAACUAUUUAUCAAACUGAACCAUUUAGCAAACUGAACUAUUUAUCAAACUGAACUAUAUAUCAAACUGAAUCACUUAGCAAACUGAACUAUUUAUUAAACUGAAGUAGAAAACCGCACUUCUUUACCAAAACAAACUGAACUAUUUAUCAAACUGAACUAGAAAACCACACUUUUUUACAAAACAAACUGAACUAUUUAUCAAACUGAACUAUUUAGCAAACUCAACUAUUUAUCAAACUGAACCAUUUAGCAAACUGAACUAUUUAUCAAACUGAAGUAGAAAACCACACUCGUUCGUGAAUGCAUCUCAGAUUUUACUAUUUCCUUACAUUUUAAUUCUAUUUACAAAUGAAGCAAAUUGUAAACUAUUUCGUAAACACUGUUUAUUGAACUUAAAAAUCGUGAACUGUUUUGUAAACACUAUAUAUUAAACUAAAACACCACCGGAAUAGAAUGUUGAUUAUAUUUAAGUUAUUUAAGCAAAGAAAACAACAUAUGAGGGCAAGAAAAUACUAUUUAAAGGUUAUAAGAAAACGAGCAGUUAUCAAAGUGAAGUAAAAAUAUACCAUUUUGCAGAAACAUUGCUAUUCGAAGCAUGCAAACUUACAUAUUACUGUAAAAUCACCAAAAAUAUCAGAAAUUUUGUGGUAUGUACCUCUGUUUCUUCUCUGUUGCUUUUAUUUCCCAAAUUUUUUGUGUGUUUUCGUCUGGAUGCAAAUCAGAACUGUGAACUGGAAACAUAAUUCAUUUUUUAGAAUCUCAAACAUGCAAAUGCACAUAUUUAGUAAAUUAAAGUAAGAAAUCAUCAAGAAUAUCAGAAAUUAUAGGUUCGUACCUGUGUUUGUCCGAUUUCGACUCUGCAAACAUACAGUUCGAAUGUUUUCAGUUUUUCGUCUUCAAAUGUAGUUUUUGGGUUGAGAAAUUCCGGAUUUGAUGUGUAGAUUAUUGCUUGAAAACUUGAAUCGAACUUGAAAACGCUUUGAGAUCUUGACGUUUGGAGUAAUGGAGGUUUCGAUUUUUUGGUACGGUGUGAAGGGGCUGGUGAACAUUAAUGGCGUUGGGAGGGAUGAUGAAUUUUAGUAACUUCGGCUAACGGGCCUGGGUUAGGCUCCGUUAGGGGCAAUUUUGGAAUAUUAAUUGUUAUGCGGUUUGGGCUUUUUGGUGAGCCCGUGUGUUUUAGUUUUGUAGGGCCUAAGAUAAAAGUUUUGUGUCCUUAUGAUUAAAAUUUAAGCCCUUUUCAUUAAAUAAUAGUUUAGGGUAGUUUUUCAUUAAAUAAAAGUUAAUUCAAUCCCUUUUUAUUAAAGCUCCCUUAAAUCAAACAAUGGCAGCCUGGCAGGUGUCGUGAUGUCCCAAAACUUUGUGGAGGCACAUCCAAAUUUAUGACCACGUUAGCCUCAAUCCUAUUCAUAUUUAAACCAGUGAUGGUAUGAGUCCGAGAGACAAUUUGGUAGUAUUAUCUUGUUAUCUUCUCGGAAGAAAUAAAUUGUAGAUGCUAAAAAUACUUUUUUCUAGAGAAAGAGGACCACAUUCAUUCACAAUGGUCCUCCUGUUAUUUUGUUCAAAGAUGGUUUAGGGUUACUCAAUUUUUUCUUUUCAAAAAUAAUUUCUUAAAAAAGUUGGGACUUCUAUUGUAAUUGAUAAGUUAAAUCUAGGGAACUUUAACAAAAACUCGUUGUACUGUUUACUUUAACAAAAAAUCAUAUUUUUACACUAAAAAUUCAACUUUGGUACUAUUCAUUAUACCAUUUAUUUUAUUCUUAUCAUUAAAACUCAAAGUUUUCAAGCAUUUUUCAUUAGCUUCCUUUAAAACUAUUGGUCCAAAACAACUCUACACAUGCUUCUCAAAAAGUACUUUUAUCAUUGGAAGUAGGUGAACAAUAUCAAUGAAUGAAACUUUCAUAUUGACAGUCAACCCAAUCAUUUGUUUUUUUUUUUUUUUUUGCUAAAAGCACUUUUGACACUAUAGUUUGACCAAAUACUUACUUUUUUUUUACAAGUGCUUAUUUUCACAUCAUAACAUAAGCAAUUUCAAAGGAAAAAAUAAUAACCCCAAAUUAACAAUUAAAUUAAUCACAAGCUGGUAAUCCAGUGAUAAAGGAUGAAUUAUGAGACUUCCUUAAAAUUAAAAAGUAGAGGUCUCGGGUUCGAAACCCGCUGCUGUCGUGGAAGCCAGACUUGUGGCUAGAAGGAGUGCCUUAUGUCUUCCCGACAUUCGAAAUAGAUGGAUAACUGUGACUUGCCAUCAGUUGUCUCCCUUUCAAAAUUCCGCCUCUUCAACUCGACCUUCCCCAUUCUCUCUCUUUCUAAAAUGGGUUCGAUCAGCAGUCAACUGGGCUCGCGCCCAUCUCGACCCCGAGUCAAUCGCACCGCCGGUAGUUCCAAACUCCCCUAUUUCGUUUGCGGUGGCUCCUCUGCACCUGCUACUCACGAGUAAACCUGGCAUUUUGGACCCGACCCGUUAACCCGACCCAACCCCGACCCGUUAAUAUUAGUAUUUAGGUGGAUACUUAACAGGUCGGGUCGUUAACGGGUGAACCCGUUAAAUAACGGAUCACUUUAGGUCAACCCAUUAACACCCGUUAAUUGAUGAUGUUUUAGUAAUUUUAAUAAAAUCUUGAAACAAAACAUAAACUCUAUGAAAAUAAUAAUAAUAAUAAUAAUAAUUGUUAACGUGUGUUUACUCGUUAGUUUAACGGGUCAGAUUCAGAUGACCCGUUAGCUUAACGGGUUAGGUUCAGAUGACCCGUUAACUUAACGGGUCGGAUUGAACCCAAUGCAAACCCAAUAAAUCCGACUCGUUUACAAGUCUACUCACGAGAUACCCUUUUCUUCUACUUCAUCACCAACCGUCAAUAAGCACUAAUCUAACUGCCAAGAAUAAUCUAACGGCCAAGAAUCCUGAUGUACCCUAUAAUUCAAUCCGUGCUAUACAAACCUAAAAGAGCAGUUUCCUAAUUCCUAAAGUUUCGGCAACCUCGCAGCCCAACCAUGUUUGGACUUUAUUGACCGCGUGUCGCACGCUUGCACCCACCACCAAUCACCAUCAGAUCUCUGAUGGUUGACCAGUCAACGCGCCUUCUCAUUGCGCCCAUUGACGCCUUCUCCUCCCCCACCACCAGGCCCACCACUAUUACACAUGCUCCGCCGCCGCUUUUCACCUCCUUCCGCCGCCAAUAACUAACUUAUUUCUUACCAUAGUUUUUACGAAAAUAUUCUCAAAAAGCAAAUUAAAAGGAAAAUUAAUAUCGCAAUAACAUUCAUUAAGCCAAAGUGACCAAGGGGGAUAGAGAAUUUUCUCGAGAAACAAACAGAAAAUAGAGGGAAAUGCGAUGCGAUUUCGAGCAACUUCACCCAAAUAUAAUCACAAAUACUAUACUUAUUGAAGUGGAGGACGUGAUCAGAUCCUAUUUUUUCCACGUACACAUCCAUUUGAUGAUCUAAUAGUAUAUAAUUUCCCUAAAUUUCAAAAGUUAAACCCUAACAGAUGGAGAUUCGGAUCUAAAUUCAGCACCUGGAUUGAGAUAGAUGACUACCGUGUGCGGCACUAGGCGGCAGGGUUGGCGGCAUUGGUGCCGUCGGAGGAGGCUUUGUGUCCCAUCAUCUUCUUGAACUCCUCGAAAUUCACAUUCCCGUCGCCGUCGGCAUCGACGGUCUUGAUCAUCCGAUGGCAGUCCUCGAUCGUGCAGGCCAUGUUGAGGCGGUUGAGCACCAGGUGGAGCUCGUUGGCGGAGAUGAGGCCGUUCCGAUCCUGGUCGUAGAGAUCGAAGGCGUCUUUGAGCUCGGUGACGCCGCCGUCCUUGGGGCCGGCGACCCAGAAGGCGUUGAACUCGUCGAGGCAAAUGAAGCCGUCGUUGUCGGUGUCGAGAUCGACCAUGAAGCGCUUGAGCUCGUCUUCGGAGACGGUGGAGCCGAGGGCCGUGAGGACGUUGCCGAGCUCGUUGACGGAGAUCUUCCCAUCGCCGUUGGAGUCGAAGCUUUUGAAGACCUUCCGGACCUCGUCGGUGACGGCGGGCUUGGGGUCGGUGACGGCGGGUUUGGGGUCGGUGGAGGCUGGAGCACAGUUGGUUGCCAUGGUGGUUGUGGUUUUUUGGUAAAUUGGUAUUCCCAGAGUCUGCAGAUUUGAAGAGGGAAAGGGGGAAGUCUUUGGGUA
Molecule: long non-coding RNA, 36637 nt
Filed under: Malus domestica (apple)
Lineage: Eukaryota; Viridiplantae; Streptophyta; Magnoliopsida; Rosales; Rosaceae
Description: long non-coding RNA (MDOM_LNC006359)
Source: RNAcentral